This 253-nucleotide ribosomal RNA is filed under the name uncultured bacterium. RNAcentral's name for it is "partial 16S ribosomal RNA". It matches the Rfam family "Bacterial small subunit ribosomal RNA", at positions 524 to 776 of the family's 1533-position model. The record is from RNAcentral.
UACGUAGGGGGCUAGCGUUGUCCGGAAUCAUUGGGCGUAAAGAGCGUGUAGGCGGUCCGGUAAGUCCGCUGUGAAAGUCGGGGGCUCAACCUCGAGAUGUCGGCGGAAACCGUCUGGCUAGAGUCCGGAAGAGGAGAGUGGAAUUCCUGGUGUAGCGGUGAAAUGCGCAGAUAUCAGGAAGAACACCCGUGGCGAAGGCGGCUCUCUGGGACGGUACUGACGCUGAGACGCGAAAGCGUGGGGAGCGAACAGG